AGAUUGAACGCUGGCGGCGUGCCUAACACAUGCAAGUCGAGCGGUAACAGGUGUAGCAAUACAUGCUGACGAGCGGCGAACGGGUGAGUAAUGCUUUGGAAUCUUCCCAGUAGUGGGGAAUAACCAGUCGAAAGAUUGGCUAAUACCGCAUACGUCUGUAAAGGGAAAGCGGGGGCUCGUAAGACCUCGCGCUAUUGGAUGAGCCAAAGUCGGAUUAGCUAGUUGGUGGGGUAAUGGCCUACCAAGGCGACAAUCCGUAGCUGGUCUGAGAGGACGACCAGCCACACCGGAACUGAGACACGGUCCGGACUCCUACGGGAGGCAGCAGUGGGGGAAUAUUGGACAAUGGGGGAAACCCUGAUCCAGCGACGCCGCGUGUGUGAAGAAGGCCUGCGGGUUGUAAAGCACUUUUUAGUGGGGACAAAAAGCUACGGAUUAAUACUCUGUGGUCUUGAUUUAACCCAAAGAAAAGCACCGGCUAACUCUGUGCCAGCAGCCGC
RNAcentral lists this ribosomal RNA (500 nucleotides) under uncultured bacterium. RNAcentral describes it as "SSU rRNA". It matches the Rfam family "Bacterial small subunit ribosomal RNA", at positions 26 to 518 of the family's 1533-position model. The record is from RNAcentral.